AUUGCAUGGAUUAAUCACAUUGGGUCAUGUUAUUCAAAUAUUAAUUAUAUAAUAUAUAAUAGUUUGCAUGGGUUAUUGCAUGGAGUAAUCACUUUGUUUCCUAGCUCACGCAAGUUACUGCAGUAUUGGAAUGAGUAAAACAAGUUGGUUAUUUUUGUCACAUGCUUUAAGUUUUUAUAUAGAAUAUAUAUCCAAUCCUGAUUUGCUUUGAAGACUAAUUCAAAUUGGAGUAUUUUAAGGAGAUUGAAAAUCUGUUU
This 257-nucleotide long non-coding RNA is filed under the name Panax ginseng (ginseng). RNAcentral describes it as "long non-coding RNA (PGIN_LNC017512)". The record is from RNAcentral. Lineage: Eukaryota; Viridiplantae; Streptophyta; Magnoliopsida; Apiales; Araliaceae.